This 30-nucleotide non-coding RNA is filed under the name Homo sapiens (human). Lineage: Eukaryota; Metazoa; Chordata; Mammalia; Primates; Hominidae. The record is from RNAcentral.
UCUGUUGUGUGCUGUCACUCGAUUUUCUGC